AUGAACGCUGGCGGCGUGCUUAACACAUGCAAGUCGAACGAGAAGUGGAGACGGAAACCUUCGGGCGGAAGACUUUAUUUCGAGUGGCGGACGGGUGAGUAACGCGUGGGUAACCUGCCUCAUACAGGGGGAUAACAGUUGGAAACGACUGUUAAUACCGCAUAAGACCACAGCACCGCAUGGCGCGGGGGGAAAAACUCCGGUGGUAUGAGAUGGACCCGCGUUCGAUUAGCCAGUUGGCGGGGUAACGGCCCACCACAGCGACGAUCGAUAGCCGAUCUGAGAGGAUGACCGGCCACAUUGGGACUGAGACACGGCCCAAACUCCUACGGGAGGCAGCAGUGGGGAAUAUUGCACAAUGGGGGAAACCCUGAUGCAGCGACGCCGCGUGAGUGAAGAAGUAUUUCGGUAUGUAAAGCUCUAUCAGCAGGGAAGAAAAUGACGGUACCUGAGUAAGAAGCCCCGGCUAACUACGUG
Molecule: ribosomal RNA, 477 nt
Filed under: uncultured bacterium
Lineage: Bacteria
Description: partial 16S ribosomal RNA
Rfam family: Bacterial small subunit ribosomal RNA
Source: RNAcentral